AAUCAACGCUGGCGGCGCGCUUAACACAUGCAAGUCGAGCGAGAAAGGGGAGCAAUCCCUGAGUACAGCGGCGUACGGGUGAGUAACACGUGGGUGAUCUACCUUCUAGUGUGGAAUAACCCUGGGAAACCGGGGCUAAUACCGCAUAAGCCUGUGAAGGGAAAGCAGCAAUGCGCUGGAAGAGGAGCCCGCGGCCGAUUAGCUAGUUGGUGAGGUAACGGCCCACCAAGGCGAUGAUCGGUAGCCGGCCUGAGAGGGCACACGGCCACACUGGCACUGAAACACGGGCCAGACUCCUACGGGAGGCAGCAGUGGGGAAUCUUGCACAAUGGAGGCAACUCUGAUGCAGCGACGCCGCGUGAGCGAUGAAGCCCUUCGGGGUGUAAAGCUCUUUCGGCAGGGACGAUAAUGACGGUACCUGAAGAAGAAGCUGCGGCUAACUACGUGCCA
This 450-nucleotide ribosomal RNA is filed under the name uncultured bacterium. RNAcentral's name for it is "bacterial SSU rRNA". It matches the Rfam family "Bacterial small subunit ribosomal RNA", at positions 32 to 510 of the family's 1533-position model. The record is from RNAcentral.